GGCUGAGAUUUGUGGGCAGCCUGAGGAUCUCCUGCAGUGCCACAGGAGCUCUUCUGUCCUGCCUUUCUUUGCAGCUGAACCUGCUGGUGAAGGUGGUGCAGCUUCCCAAGCCACGUCCAGGACUGAGGCUCUGGGAGAUGCUGAGGUGAUGGGCCAAACAUCUGUGCAGAAGGAGGCACAUCCUGGAGGAAGCAUUUCCCCAUGGGUAGCCCCUGCUGCAGGAAGGAAGGCGAUGCCAGACAUGGGCACAGGCACAGCAGAUGCAGCCAGCACCACAACACGUCUUCCCCAUGCCCAGGAAGGCCUCGGAAGUGUCUUCUAUAUGGGAACAGGCUGCUGGGCAGGGUUAAUGGCAGCCCUGCUUCUGUUGGACCUUAUUCUCAUAUUGUUCUGUGUCAGAAUCUGGUGUAACUGGAAGAAGAAAUGGUGAGUGGCCAUCUUUCCCUGAAAGAGUUUAUUUUGAAAGUCUAAUGUAGACAGUAAGCAUUCCCACUGAGGCUGCAUUGGUGCUGUGGCCAGUCCAUGGUUGUCCAAAUAACUCUGCUGAGGGUUCUUCUGCUGCCCAGUGCUUCCAUUGGCCUCUCAAUUGCUGGGCCUUGUCCUGGGGGCCCCGCUGGGGCUGCAGCCAGGGCU
This is a long non-coding RNA of Passer domesticus (house sparrow), 633 nucleotides long. RefSeq lists it as uncharacterized. The transcript is spliced from 3 exons. The record is from RefSeq and is a predicted model, not a curated record. Lineage: Eukaryota; Metazoa; Chordata; Aves; Passeriformes; Passeridae.